Molecule: ribosomal RNA, 468 nt
Filed under: uncultured bacterium
Lineage: Bacteria
Description: partial 16S ribosomal RNA
Rfam family: Bacterial small subunit ribosomal RNA
Source: RNAcentral
GACGAACGCUGGCGGCGUGCUUAACACAUGCAAGUCGAACGGAAAGGCCCUGCUUUUGUGGGGUGCUCGAGUGGCGAACGGGUGAGUAACACGUGAGUAACCUGCCCUUGACUUUGGGAUAACUUCAGGAAACUGGGGCUAAUACCGGAUAGGAGCUCCUGCUGCAUGGUGGGGGUUGGAAAGUUUCGGCGGUUGGGGAUGGACUCGCGGCUUAUCAGCUUGUUGGUGGGGUCGUGGCUUACCAAGGCUUUGACGGGUAGCCGGCCGUAGGAGGUGACCGGCCGCCAUAGGGCUAAGGAGACGCCCCGAAUCCUACGGGGGGAAGCAGUGGGGGAGAAUUGCCCAUGGGGGGAAGACGGAUGCCGCAACGCCGCCGGGGGGAUGAAGGCCUUCUGGGUGUAAACCGCUUUCGCCCUUGAAGAAGAAGGAAUGACGGUAAUGGGUAAAGAAGCACCGGCUAACUACGUG